CUGACAGCAGUAGCGUGCAGGAUGACGGCCCUAUGGGUUGUAAACUGCUUUUAUGUGGGGAUAAAGUGAGCUACGUGUAGUUUAUUGCAGGUACCACAUGAAUAAGGACCGGCUAAUUCCGUGCCAGCAGCCGCGGUAAUACGGAAGGUCCAGGCGUUAUCCGGAUUUAUUGGGUUUAAAGGGAGCGUAGGCCGUGGAUUAAGCGUGUUGUGAAAUGUAGACGCUCAACGUCUGAAUUGCAGCGCGAACUGGUUCACUUGAGUAUGCGCAACGUAGGCGGAAUUCGUCGUGUAGCGGUGAAAUGCUUAGAUAUGACGAAGAACUCCGAUUGCGAAGGCAGCUUACGGGAGCACAACUGACGCUGAAGCUCGAAGGUGCGGGUAUCAAACA
This 390-nucleotide ribosomal RNA is filed under the name Segatella salivae. RNAcentral's name for it is "bacterial SSU rRNA". It matches the Rfam family "Bacterial small subunit ribosomal RNA", at positions 383 to 774 of the family's 1533-position model. Lineage: Bacteria; Pseudomonadati; Bacteroidota; Bacteroidia; Bacteroidales; Prevotellaceae. The record is from RNAcentral.